Molecule: ribosomal RNA, 440 nt
Filed under: uncultured bacterium
Lineage: Bacteria
Description: bacterial SSU rRNA
Rfam family: Bacterial small subunit ribosomal RNA
Source: RNAcentral
CCUACGGGAGGCAGCAGUGGGGAAUAUUGGGCAAUGGGCGAAAGCCUGACCCAGCAACGCCGCGUGGUGGAUGAAGGCCUUAGGGUUGUAAACACCUUUUAUUAGGGAAGAUAGUGACGGUACCUAAUGAAUAAGCAUCGGCUAACUUCGUGCCAGCAGCCGCGGUAAUACGAAGGAUGCUAGCGUUACUCGGAAUUACUGGGCGUAAAGAAUGCGUAGGCGGAUUAUUAAGUUGAUAGUGUAAUCCCCAAGCUCAACUUGGGAAUUGCUAUCAAAACUAAUAAUCUAGAAUACAUGAGAGAGUAAGGGAAUUCUUGGUGUAGGGGUAAAAUCCGUAGAUAUCAGGAGGAAGACCGGAAGCGAAAGCGCUUACUUGGACUGUUAUUGACGCUGAGGCAUGAGAGCGUGGGGAGCGAACAGGAUUAGAUACCCUGGUAGUC